Molecule: ribosomal RNA, 154 nt
Filed under: Antipathes griggi
Lineage: Eukaryota; Metazoa; Cnidaria; Anthozoa; Antipatharia; Antipathidae
Also listed under: 1 other name
Description: partial 18S ribosomal RNA
Rfam family: Eukaryotic small subunit ribosomal RNA
Source: RNAcentral
ACUACCGAUUGAAUGGUUUAGUGAGGCCUCCUGAUUGGCGCCGCCGCCCCGGCAACGGAGUAGCGGAUGCCGAGAAGUUGGUCAAACUUGAUCAUUUAGAGGAAGUAAAAGUCGUAACAAGGUUUCCGUAGGUGAACCUGCGGAAGGAUCAUUA